Molecule: ribosomal RNA, 634 nt
Filed under: bacterium AK-24
Lineage: Bacteria
Description: bacterial SSU rRNA
Rfam family: Bacterial small subunit ribosomal RNA
Source: RNAcentral
UACUGCAGUCGGACGGGAUUCGGUGCUUCGGUACCGAUGAGAGUGGCGCACGGGUGCGUAACGCGUGAGCAACCUGCCCAUUUCAGGGGGAUAGCCCGGAGAAAUCCGGAUUAAGACCGCAUAUGAUCACAUUACCGCAUGGUAGGGUGAUGAAAUAUUCAUAGGAAAUGGAUGGGCUCGCGUGACAUUAGCUAGUUGGUAGGGUAACGGCCUACCAAGGCGACGAUGUCUAGGGGCUCUGAGAGGAGAAUCCCCCACACUGGUACUGAGACACGGACCAGACUCCUACGGGAGGCAGCAGUAAGGAAUAUUGGUCAAUGGGGGGAACCCUGAACCAGCCAUGCCGCGUGCAGGAAGACGGCCCUACGGGUUGUAAACUGCUUUUGCACGGGAAUAACCCUCAUUAUGUAUAAUGAGCUGAAUGUACCGUGAGAAUAAGGAUCGGCUAACUCCGUGCCAGCAGCCGCGGUAAUACGGAGGAUCCGAGCGUUAUCCGGAAUUAUUGGGUUUAAAGGGUGCGCAGGCGGGGAUCUAAGUCAGGGGUGAAAGACGGUGGCUCAACCAUCGCAGUGCCUUUGAUACUGGAUUCCUUGAAUAUACCUGAGGUAGGCGGAAUGUGGCAAGUAGCGGUNAA